CAGGGGUUCAGUCACAGCCUCCCCUCUUCAACAGCGAUGACACUGACCUGCAAAACGAAAAAAAAACCCAACAACAAUCUGUUCUAAUUUUCAUUUUAUUUCAUCCGUUCCCAAGUUUUUUUCCUUUUUUAGAUCUGUUUCCUUCCGUUUCUCUGCCUCCUCUCGUCUGUCUCAGGUGACCGGAUCUGCUGUCAGGGCGCCUGUGGCUAACGGUUGGCAGCCUCUCGGUGGUAGCGGCGCUGCUGUUCGGCCGCCGCUGGGAGAGGCAACCGAAGGAGAAGCAGCCGUUGCUGAUGGGAAGGCUGCGGUGGCUGGAGGUCUGGUGACCGGCGGCUGUGGAGUGAGGGGAGGAGUAAUCGGCUGGUUAGUGGGGUUCGGUGAGGAAGAAAAAAAACAGUUGUGGCCGGUUGAAGAAGAAACGAAAAAAUCAAAAGGGGGAGUGUGGGGCUGUUAUGGUGAAGAUGAAGAUGGCUGGGCAAUUCAAACCAGGGAAGGGGGGCGGCGGCUUGGUUUUCUUUUGUGCAGGGAGAUCAGAAAAAAUCAAAAGGUGUGGGGGGCGCCGCCGGCUAGUUUAUCUCUGUCAAUGGGAGUAGGGCGGCUCUGUUUGGCUCCGACUGAAAAAAAAUAAAAUAAAAUAAAAUAAAACCAGAGGGGAAGGGGCCUUGGGCGAGAAGGAGCAACGGCUGGAAGUUCAAAAAAUUUCAAACCGGGGGGGCGGCUCCUUUGGGUAGGCUGUUUGGAGAAAACAAAAGAUAGGUUUAGGGUUUUUUCUUUUGUAUUUUUGUUGAAGUUUCAAAAUUGUCCCCCCUCUUUUGUGUGAGUUAAAGACCAGUAUUUAUAGGCAAAAAUGUUGCCAAGUUUUUCAACUUGGUCCCUCAACUUCUUUCUUUUUGUAAAUUUUGAUUUUUCUUAUUUUUUUGUAUUUUUUGAAAACGAGCAAUAUCAACGUCGACUCAAAUGCGGAAAAUCAAUGAUUUUAAAAAUGACGCGUGAAAAAUCGAACGCGUUUGAAAAUAUUUUAACAAUUUAAAUUCUUUUUUAGACGACGUUGAAAAUGCUAAAAUGACGAAAAUAUAUUAAAAAACAUAUUUUUUGGAUUUUUGAAAAUAUAUCAAAACAUGGGUCAAAAAUUGGGUAGCAACAGAUGCCCCCUCUUUACAAUGCUUACGAAACAAAACUCCUCAAAAUUUUGCAUAGUAAGCUUUGUAAAGAAAACAAAAGGAAAAUGAUUUUAUUAUCUUGGGCAACCUGCCUACACAUACUCACUCUAGUCUAUUUUCACGGGCGACCGACCCACACUCUCCCAAUAGUCUAUUUUCACGGGCGACCUGCCCACACAUUGGGUUUACCUGAGAUCCCAUCUAGCGACCUCAUUCAACUGAAACGAAAAUAUUGUGUAACUCGGUUAACCUGAAAUCCCAUCUGGCUAUUCCCUUUAACCAAAGCUACCCGAGAUCCCAUCUGGCGACCUCAUUUAACCAAAACAAAAGAAUGUGUGAAAAAUGGUCUCAUUGUAUGGGUGACGAACCCAAGAAAAAAAUGAUGGUCUCAUUGUAUGGGUGACGAACCCUAGAAAAAUGAUGGUCUCAUUGUAUGGGUGACGAACCCCAGAAAAGUGGUGGUCUCAUUGUAUGGGUGACGAACCCGAGAAAAGUGGUGGUCUCAUUGUAUGGGUGACGAACCCCAGAAAAGUGGUGGUCUCAUUGUAUGGGUGACGAACCCGAGAAAAGUGGUGGUCUCAUUGUAUGGGUGACGAACCCUAGAAAAGUGGUGGUCUCAUUGUAUGGGUGACGAACCCCAGAAAAGUGGUGGUCUCAUUGUAUGGGUGACGAACCCCAGAAAUAUGAUGGUCUCAUUGUAUGGGUGACGAACCCCAGAAAAAUGAUGAAGUGCGGUCUCAUUGUAAUGGGUGACCUACCCACGUGGAAAAAAUAUGAAGUGUGGUCUCGUUGUAAUGGGUGACCUACCCAGAUGGAAAAAAUGUGAAAAUGGUCUUAUUAUGAUGGGAGACCUACCCAGAUGGAAAAAAUGUGAUAUGACAAGUGUGAAAAAUAGGACUUACCUGGCGAAGUUCUGAAAGGAUGACAGAAGAAAGGGCUGGAAGACUUGGUGCUUCCUGAUAAUUCCCGAUCAUGGGGUUUGAAAACUCGGUGUUUCCUAAUUGCAAGGGUUGAAAACUCGAGGCUUCCCGGUUGCAAGGUUGAUCUAUUCAUUUCUUUGGGAUUUUCCUAAUGGUAGGGUUCAUCCCAUCGUCCUUUUAUUCCAUGAUCAAAAUCGAUUCUUUAUUAUCAUCACCACAAUGCUUCUUUCUCUUUCCACCAUCUUGCUGGACCUCAUUAAGGAUUUUCCUGUAACAAUUCAAAAAUAUGUGCAAAUGGUUUUUUUUUUUUUUUUUUUGAGGUUAGAUGAUAUGCAUGCAUCCUUACCUGAUUUGAAAUAAUAGAUCCCCCCUCUUUGAUGCUCCAUCGUCAUAGGGUGCCCUUGUUUGUAUCCCAAAGCUUUCUUUGUUCUUCCGAUGUAUUAGCUCAUUCAUGUGUUAGCCAUCCACUCAGCUGUAAAUGCGUGCCCAUCCCGGGCUGUCUUCGACAAUUACUGCUUGCAUCGUUCAUGAAGCUUGACCCUGCCCCCAAGUGUGUACUGCUUGAUUCAUCAUGAGAGAUUUUCUCUCCUGGCUUCUUCUGAGAAAUUAUCCUCUGAUUGAUUGUGUGCAUCAUGCCAACACCCAUCACGUUUGUUAAUCAGUCAUGAACUUGCCUUCGGUUGAAACACCAUUCAAGUAUGUAUGGUCACCAGCCUUCAUGGAACUGCCAAGUCAUCCAGACAUGUAUCUCAUGCUUUGCAGUAAACAGCUCAUCAUUGUAAGCUGAUGUAUUUCUCUAUGGAUUCCUCUUAGCUUGUCAAUCAGAUCGUGAAAAUACCUGCUUUGCAUCAUCAAUGAUGUUCAUGUUAUCACCAUAUUCAUGCGGUGAAGUGCGCAUUUGAGCUUCAGAAUAGAUGUCCCACAAUCAGUCUUCGAGGUGGGUGCCUUUCCGACAUUCAUUCAGUGCAGUUGUGUGAUAACAUCGUCUCUAACCAUGUUUCAAAGAAUGACAAUAUGAGAUUGUCCUUUAAGUGCAGCAUUGUUCCACAGUCAGUCUUGGUGGUGUGCAUCUUUUCUCAUUCAAUUACAUUCAUCUGUGUAUUCCUCAUCGAUCGCGAGCCAUGUUUCAAAAAAUGAUGAUAGGAAAGUGCCUUCAGGUACGUUUUUGUUUCUCCAUUGCCGACAGGAUUCACUAAAGCAUGGGCCAUUUUGGAAUGACAUUGCCCCAGUAUGAUCCGAAUGUGCUCGUUCAUUGAUUAUCUGUCUUUGAACAUCAUUGUCUUCAGUUCACUGAUUCAUCAUUUAAACAUUGCCUCAUAGCUGAUCUGAGCACUGCUUGUUUUUCCUUUUCAAGGUCUACUGUAUUGCCCCCAGCUGCUCAACUUUUCAAGGAGUGUCGAGGACUUCAAUGUCAUUUCUAUCAACAAUUUUGCAUACUCAAUCAAUGUUCUUCUGUGUUUGAUAAUCUUCCUUGUUCUGGAAUCAACUCUCAUAUUUCAAAGAUCAUGUCUAUUCAAAGUCUAGUUUGUUGAAAUGAAAUCAGAGAUGUCUUUUUGAAAAUCUUUUGAAAAUCAAGCUUUUUGAUCAAAGGCCCAACACAUUUUAUUCGAAAUAUAUAGUCCUUUGAUUGUCAUGCAUUUUGAAAACAGAAAUUGACCCAAUGUAGGAUUAAAAAUGGCUUUUUCCAUGGUUCUUUGUAUCAAUUUGAAUCCUUGAUAUUGGGUAUAUCAUUUGAUAGUCUAUGAUGAGGUGACCUUUGCAUGAAUUUCAAAAACAAGAUGCUCAGGCUUUAUCAAGAAAGGUUGUUUCUUCUCUUAGCAUUUAUUUUAUCAGCAUGCAUAAUAACCAGUAGCUUAAUUCAUGAAGUCACGACCCUUAUGGAAAAAACUCUUCAAGUUUUGAGAUCGCCAUUUAUUGGUUCAGAUUGCUUGCUUGAUUAAAAAGGGCUUUUAAAAGCACGUAAUGCAGGCUAUGGUUCAUGGCUAUGAAAGAAAGGAAUUCCAUAGGCUCAAAAAGGUGUUUGAGGGUUUCAAAGACCUAGGAUCAACAUCAACUAUUCAUCAACUUGCUUUCUAUUGUUGUCUUUGUAGAGGAAACGACAUAUAACCUUGUUAACCUCAAAGUUCAGACUUUUCUUAACAUAAGUCAUAAUGCAAAUCCCCCUUUCCUUGAUGAAUAACUAAUCUAAAUAUUUUUGAAGACAUUAGAGGCUCUAUCCAAGACACACCAAAAGAUAUGAAGCAUCGAUUUUUCUAGUGUUGACUUUUGGCAUUUGCUGUCUUUUCUCAAUUGAAAACUGUCUUGCCUCUCUUAGAAUUGAUAGGCAUUUUCUUUCCUUUCCAUUUUUUUUUUUUUGCAUAGCCUUCCUCAAAGUUUUUCUUGGAUGGCCCUCAAUCUAUGGAUUUUCUUCUGCUAGCCCUUUCUCAAACAUUGGACUUUUGUUCUAAGCUUUUCUUUGAUCCAUUGAUUUUAUCAGUGUCUCCAAAAUAUUUCUCAUUUGCCCCUAGUGUGGGGUGUGAUCCUAGUCAGGGUUUCCUUUUGAAAGAAAAUAUCUCACCAAGCUCAAAAUGGGACUACAAGGGAUAUAAUUUUUAGAAAGUGAAGAGAUAUCAAAGAUGGCCUUUUCUCAUUUCAAGCAAGGUCGGUUAGAACCGAUAAAUUUUGACCUCAUCUAGUGUAAUGAUUUGGACUUGUAAGAAUCAUGAUUCACGAGUCCAUAACUAUUGAAUCCACUACAUGUCAUUAUGCAUACUGCUAAAACUUAGCUAUAUGAUGUGUGGUUCAGUUUCAAAAGGUAUGAGUUCAAAAUUGUUUGGUCACCUCAUGUCAUUUUCAAGUAGAGUCAUUUCUGUAAUCAAAACACUUUUAAUCUUCCGGAUUGAUUAACCUUUAUCGCAUGUUGGAGUUUGAUCAAAAUAUUUUGUCAGAAUAAAAUGUAAACAUCUGUUGAUUUCAAAACAACAAAGAGACAAAAGCAAGGCAUGUUUCGUUGAAGGAUGAGAUGUGAUCCCAAAACAAAAUGCAGAAUUCCAUAACAAUAUGAUUGACUGUUCAUCACCAUUCUCGAAUCAGCUUUUCUGGCAAUAUCUGUGUUUUGCAAACAUUUUCGAUCACAUGUCAUUCUGAAGUUGUUCGGGGAACAAUAUAGCCAAUGACACCCUCUUCAACGACUCCACUUGUCUCUUGCUCACCAACUUUCAGACUCGCUUCUCAAUUCUUGAAAUUGCUCAAUUGAAAUGGUUGAGGACCCCAUCAUGACAUCACAUCUCUUGUCUGGAUUAACCACCCAGAAAAUGGUGGUUGCAUGGAUUUGUCGGAGUCAAGCAAAAUUCUGGAAUCUGGCAGAUGCUGGUCGACAAACUUAAAUGGCAGAGGAAUGUCCCAUCUUGGCAAAGAUAUUUGGGCAAUUGAUGCUGCCGUGAGACCUGGCUAUACCACAUAAUUAAGGGUUCACACCGUCAAAGUCAUCUCCAUGAUUUACCUCUCCUCAUUGUUCUAGAAUCCAUGGCAGAUCCUUCAAUCUUUCUCUCUUCAUAGCCUGUUCAAUUCUUCGGCAAAUUCUCAUAACAUUAUUUCAAUCUUCCAAUGUUGCUAGGGUUGGUUGAGGAUUGUUAGAAAACUUUCUAACAACUUGGUAAUCUUGGCAGCGCCCAUAAACUUGUAGUAUCGUCACUACCGACGUGUGGAAUCACACAUUGUCUCUAUUGGAAGAGCACCAGAUGAAUCCAAAACUCCUUUGUCCCCUCUUCGAUUUCUCACUGACAGUGCAGCAAACAAACACCUAUAGAGGAAGUCCUGCUCUGUUGAAGUUUCAGUAUUCUUCAUGUUUUUUAGUCUAGGCAUGUCUCUUUUCUCUACUUUUGCGUUUUAAUACUGACACUGUUGGAGGAAAAUCAUAGAUGACCUGAAACUACUGUAUUCCUUCUUGGAUUUCCCACUUGCGGAUCCACAAACAGAUUCCUGCCGAGAGAGCUCUGCUCCGUUGAAGUUUGAUGUCUGCUCGUAUUUUUCAGACCAGGUCUGGAUCUUCAACGUACCAAGAUGUCUCCGUGCUGAAACUGAUGGGAGAAAUAUUUGUAACAUAUACAACUUAUAAAUCCCCUCUUGCACUCCCAAUUUGCAGAGCCAUAAAUGGAUUUUUAUAGAGGGAGCUCUGCCACAUUGAAGCUCAGUGUUUAAUCAUGGUUUUUCAGACCAGCAUCUUGUGCUGAUGAAAUGGAAUUGAGCUCAUAAUUAGGGCAGCUUCCAAGAAGACUAAUGCGCCAUGUACAGGAGACCGAUAGUUGUUUGGUUCCAUUAGAUGAUGUGGAGGCGAUGAACAUUUAACAAUGCAACCAGAGUUGUCAUUAGUUGAUGACUGAAGGCGUUGUUGCUUUUGUUCAUGACGAAAAAAGGAGAAAUACAGCUUCAAUUAGAUGUGAACAAGCAGUGUUCCCACAGAAGACUGUGCAGAUAUUCUCUUUCCAUUUGAUGCUCAACACUUGUUCGAGCAGAUCUGAGUCUGGCUACUUCACAUUUAAUGCUCUCAACCUUAAUCUGAUAAUGAGCCUCUAUCUGACACCUUUCUUCACCUCCAUCAUUUUUCUCCAAUCAUGUGCAGCACAGCUUGUGUGGGGGACCUACCUUUCAACCCGGUACAUGCAUGAUAAAUGUAUGAACAUGUAAUCUAUAUGAUGAACUCACCCUUCGAGAGGUGACAAUAUGGUCGUAACUCUUGUAUGAUGGACAAGAAUCGUGAUUUUUGCCCAAACUCUACAAUGAAAAUUUUCGGAGCAACGGCCAAUGUGUCACCCACAAGUCUUGAGUUCAAGAUGCUUCAAGAAGGGUUUGCCCUUAUGCAAAAAACGAUAGCACAUACAACCUAAGGACAGGUUCUAUUCAUUAUGUGAACAUGGGUAGGUUUUCUAUCUGGUCUCAAAAGGGUCUCAUAUCUGCCCAGUGACGUUCUUCGUAAAGACAGUAUGGGGGCGUUGCAAAGAAUGGUUAAGGCACGUAUACCCACCAUUACCAAGCAGGCACUCAGAUAUGAGUUGGGUGUUUCACGCAUCUGAACCCUGACCAAUAGUCUUAGGGCAGAUCGCUAGUUCCCCACCUAACCUAGAAGCUUGUGUGUGCUUUCAAAAAUAAAUACAGGUGAUGCAUGAGACAAUUCUAUAAAAUGCAUGGAAAUAAAUAUUAACAAAAAAACAAAAAUGCAAAAACAUAAACACAUCAAAUACACAAAGCUUAAUCCAAUAAUAUCAGAAACAGUACCGUCCCCAGUGGAGUCGCCAUUCUGUCGCACCCCAAAAAAAAUCAAUCAGCGGCGGCAUCGGCUGGCGAUUUAUCUCGUUUGCGUUUGAAUUUGGUUCGUUGGAGUCGCCACCUAGUAAUUGAUUCGGGCUACUAGGAAACCGGAUGUACUGGUCUUGUCAGAGAUUCGCGGGUAAGGGACUGGUUGUGGUUAGGGAAGGUAUUAGCACCCCUUAACACCUACUGAGGUAAGCUGCUUCGUGGCUUUGACGUGUUAAAGAAGUUUUAAUAAUUGUCUUUUCUUCGGAAAUUAGAAAUAUCACUUACGUAUAAGUUAAUAAUUCUUAACCGUGAUCCGAUCAAAAUAUUAAAUUCUUCUUUAAUAUAUUUUCAAUUUUACAUUAAAAAAUAGUACAAAUAAAUAAAAAAAAAUACAAGCACAUCACAUACACUUUCACUAUUUUAUUUUUGUUUCUUCUUUUUCUUUUCUUCUUUCUUUUACAUCCAUAUUUACAAAAUCCAAAUACAAAUUCAAACAAAAAAACAUAAAAAUUACAUGAAUUAAUUUAAAAUGUAGAAAACAGUCCCCCAAACUCCAGGAAUUGCAUAGGAACGCUUCUAGAAUGGUCUGAACGGCGGUGCGCGUCUUCCCCACGCGCCCCGUCACUGGCGGCGCGUGGGUUCACGCGCUGCCGCUGGAGAAGUACAGUGAGCAGGGUUCAGUCACAGCCUCCCUCUUCACGGCGAUGACACUGACCUGCAAAACAAAAAAAAAACGCAACAACAAUCUGUUUUAAUUUUCGUUUUAUUUCAUCCGUUCCCAAGUUUUUUUCCUUUUUUAGAUCUGUUUCCUUCCGUUUCUCUGCCUCCUCUCGUCUGUCUCAGGUGACCGGAUCUGCUGUCAGGGCGCCUGUGGGCUAACGUUGGCAGCCUCUCGGUGGUAGCGGCGCUGCUGUUUCGGCCGCCGCUGGGAGAGGCAACCGAAGGAGAAGCAGCCGUUGCUGAUGGGAAGGCUGCGGUGGCUGGCUGGUGAUGGAGGCGUCUGUGUGGUCGGCUGAGAAGAUCGGCGUUGAUGGAAACCGAAGGAGGAAGAAGAUAGGCCGGCUGUUGAAGGAAAUGAGUUUGUGGCUGGCUGAAGGCAGAUCGGAGUUUGCUGCGGAGAGGCUGCAACAAGGAAGUAAAUGCAGGGGCUGGACCAGGAGA
This 8515-nucleotide long non-coding RNA is filed under the name Populus tremula. RNAcentral's name for it is "long non-coding RNA (PTRE_LNC001501)". The record is from RNAcentral. Lineage: Eukaryota; Viridiplantae; Streptophyta; Magnoliopsida; Malpighiales; Salicaceae.